RNAcentral lists this ribosomal RNA (253 nucleotides) under uncultured bacterium. Its description in RNAcentral is "partial 16S ribosomal RNA". It matches the Rfam family "Bacterial small subunit ribosomal RNA", at positions 524 to 776 of the family's 1533-position model. The record is from RNAcentral.
UACAGAGGGGGCGAGCGUUAUUCGGAUUUACUGGGCGUAAAGGGUGCGUAGGCGGAUCUUUAAGUAGGGUGUUAAAUCCCUGGGCUCAACCCAGGAACUGCAUUUUAAACUGGAGGUCUAGAGUAUGGUAGAGGAAAGUGGAAUUCCUAGUGUAGAGGUGAAAUUCGUAGAUAUUAGGAGGAACACCAGAGGCGAAGGCGGCUUUCUGGACCAUUACUGACGCUGAGGCACGAAAGCGUGGGGAGCAAACAGG